ACGGAAUCAGUGACAUUUGCUUUGACGAAGAACAAAAGUAGCUGCAAGUGCACAAGAUUCAACAUAGGCGCAUAGUAGCAUUAACAGCGAAAUCGAAAAAUGAGAAAGUUCGAUCCAUGGCCCGUUUUCUUCAAGCGAGAAUGGAAACGUAACUGGCCAUUCCUCGUUGGAUUCGCAGUCACCGGAGCUGUUAUCACCAAGUUAUCUCUUGGCUUUACCGAGGAAGAUGCUAAGAAUUCGAAAUUCGUUCAGGCGCACAAGAGGUAAUUUCGGAAUGGGGACACUGCACUGGCCUUGCACCUCAUGUUAGUUGUGUCAAGAUUACUUGUCUUGAUUUUUUGCAUUGUAAUAACAGAAGAGAGAUAUUCUAUAUACUCCCUCUAUCAUCAUAUUAUUAUUUUCAGUUUUGGUCCUUUACCUAAAUCUGCUUGAAAAGUUCAUACUAAGCAAUUAUUGAUUUUCUCUAUUGUGAUGCUUAUCCUACUUGGAAUUUCUCUUUUGGUGUACAUUAGUUUAUCACUAUUCAGCUAUUACUUUGUAGAUAUAAGAUUUUGAGGGGGAUUGUUUACAUAGACACCAUUCAUUGGU
Molecule: RNA transcript, 588 nt
Organism: Cicer arietinum (chickpea)
Lineage: Eukaryota; Viridiplantae; Streptophyta; Magnoliopsida; Fabales; Fabaceae
Gene name: ATP synthase small subunit 6, mitochondrial
Source: RefSeq, a predicted model, not a curated record